This 602-nucleotide ribosomal RNA is filed under the name uncultured bacterium. Its description in RNAcentral is "bacterial SSU rRNA". It matches the Rfam family "Bacterial small subunit ribosomal RNA", at positions 28 to 661 of the family's 1533-position model. RNAcentral also lists the same sequence under 1 other name. The record is from RNAcentral.
GAUGAACGCUGGCGGUCUGCUUAACACAUGCAAGUCGAACGAAGUCUUCGGACUUAGUGGCGGACGGGUGAGUAACACGUGAGAAUCUGCCUUCAGGUCGGGGAUAACAGUUGGAAACGACUGCUAAUACCGGAUGUGCCCAAGGGUAAAAGAUUUAUUGCCUGAAGAGGAGCUCGCGUCUGAUUAGCUAGUUGGUAGAGUAAAAGCCUACCAAGGCGUCGAUCAGUAGCUGGUCUGAGAGGACGAGCAGCCACACUGGGACUGAGACACGGCCCAGACUCCUACGGGAGUGCAGCAGUGGGGAAUUUUCCGCAAUGGGCGCAAGCCUGACGGAGCAAGACCGCGUGGGGGAGGAAAGCCUUUGGGUCGUAAACCCCUUUUGUCAGGGAAGAAACCCUUGACGGUACCUGACGAAUCAGCCUCGGACUAACUACCGUGCCAGCAGCCGCGGUAAUACGGAGGAGGCAAGCGUUAUCCGGAAUUAUUGGGGCGUCAAGCGUCCGUCAGGUGGCCGAGUAAAUUCUGCUGUCAAGGACCACGGGCCUCACACUGUGGGGCACGGCAGUGGGAAACUUGCGCGGCUUAGAAGUGCGGGAAGGGGU